Molecule: ribosomal RNA, 506 nt
Filed under: uncultured bacterium
Lineage: Bacteria
Description: partial 16S ribosomal RNA
Rfam family: Bacterial small subunit ribosomal RNA
Source: RNAcentral
AUUGAACGCUGGCGGCAGGCCUAACACAUGCAAGUCGAACGGUAACAGGAAACAGCUUGCUGUUUCGCUGACGAGUGGCGGACGGGUGAGUAAUGUCCGGGAAACUGCCUGAUGGAGGGGGAUAACUACUGGAAACGGUAGCUAAUACCGCAUAACGUCGCAAGACCAAAGAGGGGGACCUUCGGGCCUCUUGCCAUCGGAUGUGCCCAGAUGAGAUUAGCUAGUAGGUGGGGUAACGGCUCACCUAGGCGACGAUCCCUAGCUGGUCUGAGAGGAUGACCAGCCACACUGGAACUGAGACACGGUCCAGACUCCUACGGGAGGCAGCAGUGGGGAAUAUUGCACAAUGGGCGCAAGCCUGAUUCAGCCAUGCCGCGUGUAUGAAGAAGGCCUUCGGGUUGUAAAGUACUUUCAGCGGGGAGGAAGGGAGUAAAGUUAAUACCUUUGCUCAUUGACGUUACCCGCAGAAGAAGCACCGGCUAACUCCGUGCCAGCCGCCGCGGUAA